Molecule: transfer RNA, 74 nt
Filed under: Pasteurella multocida subsp. multocida str. HN06
Lineage: Bacteria; Pseudomonadati; Pseudomonadota; Gammaproteobacteria; Pasteurellales; Pasteurellaceae
Description: tRNA-Sup (TTA) (tRNA-Sup-TTA-1-1)
Rfam family: tRNA
About the family: Transfer RNA (tRNA) molecules are approximately 80 nucleotides in length. Their secondary structure includes four short double-helical elements and three loops (D, anti-codon, and T loops).
Source: RNAcentral
GACUGGGUAAGCAAGAGGAUACGCUAAGGAAUUUUAAAUUCCCGAGUAUGUGGGUUCGAGUCCCACCCUAGUCG